This 253-nucleotide ribosomal RNA is filed under the name uncultured bacterium. RNAcentral describes it as "partial 16S ribosomal RNA". It matches the Rfam family "Bacterial small subunit ribosomal RNA", at positions 524 to 776 of the family's 1533-position model. The record is from RNAcentral.
GACGUAGGGCGCGAGCGUUGUCCGGAUUUAUUGGGCGUAAAGAGCUCGUAGGCGGCUUGUCGCGUCGUUCGUGAAAACCCGGGGCUCAACUCCGGGCUUGCGGGCGAUACGGGCAGGCUAGAGUUCGGUAGGGGAGACUGGAAUUCCUGGUGUAGCGGUGAAAUGCGCAGAUAUCAGGAGGAACACCAGUGGCGAAGGCGGCUCACUGGCCCGAUACUGACGCUGAGGUGCGAAAGCGUGGGGAGCAAACAGG